CCGAGGCGGUGGGAGGAGUCCCCAGAAGAAAAAUCGUCCUCCUUCUCCAAUUAAAACUCCAUCUCGGCAUCGCUGCGGACCGUGGGAAGGUCUGAAGGAAAACACGGUGGCCCCGAUAUUCUUCUAACUGAGAAGUGCUACACAGUCUCUUCUAGAUGAGAUGUCUGACUAGAAAGGACAGGUGCAAAACCAGAGCAGCAAGAUCAGAGUGUGAAACUCAGUGAUGCUACUGCCGUCUCCAGCUGUCCUCCUCUCAGGCUCCCCCACAGGCAGCUAGCUUGGAUAAUGGUCAAACCAAAGGAAUCUAGCUUUUAUUGUUAAAGGACUCGAGGGAACACAUGUAUUGCUGUCGGCUUCUCUCCACACCCACUCUGUGAGAUGACUACAGGAUCAUUUUAAUCAAGAAUGAAGACUACAUAAUUCAAGCAACAGGGUCAAAAGUCUGAUGUCUGCAGGGAAAGUGCAUUGGUUUAACUUCAGUCAGAUUUUAAAUCUUGGCUUUAAGGCUUGGCUAAAUAAUUAGGUCAAACCAGUGCAACGUUCCCGUGUAACUAAGGCCUUAAAAAAGGAUUUUAAAGAUAAAUAUCUCAGUUAAUUACUUAAGCUACAGUCUGAAACCUAUUGAAGUCAAUGAGACAGGAGAGCAAGCAGCCAACAAGAUACACUCUGAAGUGUCUUUCUGAAUCAGUAGCUUCAUUCUGCUCUAAGGAACAAACCUCCAUUUCAGCGAAAGUCAUCUUAGGAUCAUGGUGCUUUCUUAGAUCUCUGUCAGCCGCAAAGCCUACAAGAGAGAGGACAGUGCUAAGGCCUGGCUGCAGGAGAGUGUUGCAGGAAGCUGGAGAGAGCAGAUUCUCAGCUAUACAUUCCAUUACAAAGGGAGGUUCUUCAGAGCAAGAGGUUCCAUUACAUGUCUACAUGUUGAGGAGAAGACCCUGGCCAGUGGCCGGCCACCCAUUCAGCCACUCCCUCACUCCCCUUCCUCAUGGGGGCAUGCAGGGGCAGAAAAAUGAUGAAAAAGCUUGUGGACAGAGAUAAAGACAGGGAAAUUACUUACUAGUUACUGUCAAGCAAUUACUUACCAAUUUGUCACUUGGAGAAAAUUAAUUUUUUGCCAAUUGAAAGAGCUUUGGUUUUUUUGAGAAACAAAAUCAAAAACUGAAGGCACGUCUUACCCCCACAUCCUUUCCCACUUCAUUCCUGAUUCCUCUUUCAGUGAAUGGGAGGUGUGACGGGUCCACAACAGUUCCUCUCCACCUCUCCUUUCUCCUCACACUGUUCUCUUGCUCCACCAUGGGCCUCUUCAAUGGGCUGCAGAUUCAUGCUCUGUCUUGGAGGACCUCAUUACUCUCCUCUUUCUCUGAACUUGGCCUUCACCCCAUUACUUCAUCCUUUUUUUCCCCUUCCUCUGCCUGCCUAGUGCUUUUGCCCAUUCUUUAAUACAUCUUCCCUGAGACACCAGCAAAAAGCCACGUGGGCUCCUGGAGCUUGGCAGCGUCUGCUAGGAUGGCCACUGGUCCAUCACUGGUCAACAAUGAGUGUUGCGCCAUCACUUGUUGUAUGCUUCUGGUUCUAAUGCAAGGGAGCAGAUUGAUAUAUAACGUCACUAUUUCCAACCUCAGAUAUUCAGCAAAUGUAUUUUUUUCCCCAAAUACUUUUCAAUGGCAAAUAUAGAUAUCUUUUCGUUUGUAUUUUGACCUCCAAGUCUUGAAUCUUUCUCCAAACACAUAGUCAAGAAACUCAUUUUUCAAAAGUCCUAAGAGUUGAGUUUCUUAUGAGAGUCUGGUCCACUUCAAGGAGAGAAACCUCAGUUUAUGAAAAAUAAUAUUACAACUGUUGUGCUGGCUGAUGUCCUCUACUUUUACAAGAGAACAAUAGAAAAUCAAUUACACUGACAAACCCCCCUUGUGGGGUGAAACUGUGUAGGCUUUCCCAACAGACAUAACAGAUGUUUCUUGAAGAGUGAUUUCUGAAGGAGAGAAAACAAACACUGGAUACUUUCUGGGGAUACUGUAGAAGGAGGGGACUUCACUACUUUCAACAAGUCACAAGUACAGAUUCCCAACAGAGGCACAAAUCAACUUUUUCAUUCAAAUAACAGUUAUUUGAGACCGUGAUGAAACACGAGAGGACUGUGGACCGUGCCAGUGAGAAUAAAGAAAUAAAAAACAGUGCCAUCUUGUGGUUAACGUGAUUAAUCCCUGAUCCUAAGCCAAAGGCCUACAGUACUCUGAAUGCUCCCAAGAGGAAAGAGGAAAAUCUUUUGCACUAAGAAAAAAGUACCGGUAACUUCUGGCCAAACGAUAAGUAACCUUAUUUCAGUUCAGAAUCCUGUCUUGAAUAUGCAGACUUUGGUUUUAUCAUAUGACUGAAACAAAUACCUCUUCCUUUUAUAAUUGCACGUGUUAUAAAAGAGUGGCAUAUUGUUUUUAUUGGACUAAUUCUCGCUCCACUACUACUGAAGAGAUUUGAGAGCUCAUAUAUUCAUCAUCCGUCGAAGUAAUCUCCAUGGUAUCUUAGAUUCAGACAAA
Long non-coding RNA from Gallus gallus (chicken), 2528 nucleotides. NCBI's taxonomy places the organism in Eukaryota, Metazoa, Chordata, Aves, Galliformes, Phasianidae. The record is from Ensembl.